GAUGAACGCUGGCGGCGUGCUUAACACAUGCAAGUCGAACGAAGCACUUAAGAUUGAUUCUUCGGAUGACGUCUUUUGUGCCUUAGUGGCGGACGGGGGAGUAACGCGUGGGUAACCUGCCUCACACAGGGGGAUAACAGUUAGUAAUGACUGAUAAUACCGCAUACCCCGAUAGGAUCGCAUAGACCCGACGGCAAAGAUUUAUCGGUGUGAGAUGGACCCGCAUCUGAUUAGCUAGUUGGUGAGGUAACGGCCCACCAAGGCGACGAGCAGUAGCCGGGCUGAGAGGGUGAACGGCAACAUUGGGACUGAGACACGGACCAAACUCCUGCGGGAGGCAGCAAUGGGGAAUAUUGCACAAUGGGGGAAACCCUGAUGCAGCGACGCCGCGUGAGUGAAGAAGUAGUGCGGUAUGUAAAGCUCUAUGAGCAGGGAAGAAAAUGACGGUACCUGACUAAGAAGCCCCGGCUAACUACGUG
This 479-nucleotide ribosomal RNA is filed under the name uncultured bacterium. RNAcentral describes it as "partial 16S ribosomal RNA". It matches the Rfam family "Bacterial small subunit ribosomal RNA", at positions 28 to 507 of the family's 1533-position model. The record is from RNAcentral.